This 230-nucleotide ribosomal RNA is filed under the name uncultured bacterium. Its description in RNAcentral is "partial 16S ribosomal RNA". It matches the Rfam family "Bacterial small subunit ribosomal RNA", at positions 561 to 790 of the family's 1533-position model. The record is from RNAcentral.
UAAAGGGUGCGUAGGCGGUUUAUUAAGUCAGUGGUGAAAGACGGUCGCUCAACGAUUGCAGUGCCAUUGAUACUGGUAGACUUGAGUGGGAUUGAGGUAGCUGGAAUGGAUAGUGUAGCGGUGAAAUGCAUAGAUAUUAUCCAGAACACCAAUUGCGUAGGCAAGUUACUAAGUCUCAACUGACGCUGAGGCACGAAAGUGUGGGUAUCAAACAGGAUUAGAUACCCUGU